RNAcentral lists this ribosomal RNA (254 nucleotides) under uncultured bacterium. Its description in RNAcentral is "partial 16S ribosomal RNA". It matches the Rfam family "Bacterial small subunit ribosomal RNA", at positions 524 to 776 of the family's 1533-position model. The record is from RNAcentral.
GACAGAGGGUGCAAACGUUGUUCGGAAUUAUUGGGCGUAAAGAGCUCGUAGGCGGUGUGUCACGUCGGCCGUGAAAACCUGCAGCUUAACUGUGGGCGUGCGGUCGAUACGGGCAUCACUGGAGUUCGGCAGGGGAGACUGGAAUUCCUGGUGUAGCGGUGAAAUGCGCAGAUAUCAGGAGGAACACCGGUGGCGAAGGCGGGUCUCUGGGCCGAUACUGACGCUGAGGAGCGAAAGCGUGGGGAGCAAACAGG